Molecule: transfer RNA, 80 nt
Filed under: Galerina marginata CBS 339.88
Lineage: Eukaryota; Fungi; Basidiomycota; Agaricomycetes; Agaricales; Galerinaceae
Rfam family: tRNA
About the family: Transfer RNA (tRNA) molecules are approximately 80 nucleotides in length.
Source: Rfam by way of RNAcentral
UCCGGUAUGGUGUAACGGCUAACAUUACCGCCUUUCACGCAGUAACGCGGUAGCUCGGGGUUCGAUUCCCCGUACCGGAA